This is a non-coding RNA of Streptomyces auratus AGR0001, 75 nucleotides long. Lineage: Bacteria; Bacillati; Actinomycetota; Actinomycetes; Kitasatosporales; Streptomycetaceae. The record is from Rfam.
CUUCACCGAACCCAGCCACAACGGCCGGUCCUCGUCCCGGCCCUGACCGUACGUCGCCAGUAGCGCCUGCGCCUC